CAGCAGCCGCGGGAAUACGUAGGGUGCAAGCGUUAAUCGGAAUUACUGGGCGUAAAGCGUGCGCAGGCGGUCCGCUAAGACAGAUGUGAAAUCCCCGGGCUUAACCUGGGAACUGCAUUUGUGACUGGCGGGCUAGAGUAUGGCAGAGGGGGGUAGAAUUCCACGUGUAGCAGUGAAAUGCGUAGAGAUGUGGAGGAAUACCGAUGGCGAAGGCAGCCCCCUGGGCCAAUACUGACGCUCAUGCACGAAAGCGUGGGGAGCAAACAGGAUUAGAUACCCCGGUAGUCCCUGUCUCUUAUAC
RNAcentral lists this ribosomal RNA (301 nucleotides) under uncultured bacterium. RNAcentral describes it as "partial 16S ribosomal RNA". It matches the Rfam family "Bacterial small subunit ribosomal RNA", at positions 509 to 807 of the family's 1533-position model. The record is from RNAcentral.